This 196-nucleotide ribosomal RNA is filed under the name uncultured anaerobic ammonium-oxidizing bacterium. RNAcentral's name for it is "partial 16S ribosomal RNA". It matches the Rfam family "Bacterial small subunit ribosomal RNA", at positions 335 to 524 of the family's 1533-position model. The record is from RNAcentral.
ACUCCUACGGGAGGCAGCAGUGGGGAAUUUUGGACAAUGGGCGAAAGCCUGAUCCAGCCAUGCCGCGUGAGUGAAGAAGGCCUUCGGGUUGUAAAGCUCUUUUAGUCGGAAAGAAAGAGUUGCAAUGAAUAAUUGUGAUUUAUGACGGUACCGACAGAAAAAGCACCGGCUAACUACGUGCCAGCGCCGCGGUAAU